GAUGAACGCUGGCGGCGUGCCUAAUACAUGCAAGUCGAGCGAACAGACGAGGAGCUUGCUCCUCUGACGUUAGCGGCGGACGGGUGAGUAACACGUGGAUAACCUACCUAUAAGACUGGGAUAACUUCGGGAAACCGGAGCUAAUACCGGAUAUAUAUUGAACCGCAUGGUUCAAUAGUGAAAGACGGUUUUGCUGUCACUUAUAGAUGGAUCCGCGCCGCAUUAGCUAGUUGGUAAGGUAACGGCUUACCAAGACGACGAUGCGUAGCCGACCUGAGAGGGUGAUCGGCCACACUGGAACUGAGACACGGUCCAGACUCCUACGGGAGGCAGCAGUAGGGAAUCUUCCGCAAUGGGCGAAAGCCUGACGGAGCAACGCCGCGUGAGUGAUGAAGGUCUUCGGAUCGUAAAACUCUGUUAUUAGGGAAGAACAAAUGUGUAAGUAACUAUGCACGUCUUGACGGUACCUAAUCAGAAAGCCACGGCUAACUACGUG
Molecule: ribosomal RNA, 496 nt
Filed under: uncultured bacterium
Lineage: Bacteria
Description: partial 16S ribosomal RNA
Rfam family: Bacterial small subunit ribosomal RNA
Source: RNAcentral